RNAcentral lists this ribosomal RNA (434 nucleotides) under Entoloma percuboideum. RNAcentral's name for it is "partial small subunit ribosomal RNA". It matches the Rfam family "Bacterial small subunit ribosomal RNA", at positions 357 to 768 of the family's 1533-position model. Lineage: Eukaryota; Fungi; Basidiomycota; Agaricomycetes; Agaricales; Entolomataceae. The record is from RNAcentral.
AAGAAUAUUAGUCAAUGCUCGUAAGAGUGAACUAGCUAACUGAAAUCACAUGAUCCUCUACGUGUGGUGAAUGUAAUAACGUAAGGGAAAAAAAUGAUAUUACCUUACUAUUAGUGUUGUCCAAAACUGGUGCCAGAAGACUCGGUAAGGCCAGAGACGCAAACGUUAGUCGUCCUAAUCAGGCGUAAAGGGUAUGUAGGCUGCUUUAAAAGUUUUAUAAUUAGUAGCUAUGUAUAAAAAUAAAUAAAAUAAAUUUUUCUUAAAUUAUUUAAUUUAUACAGAAAAUAUAAAAUGAAUUGAAGCUAGAAUCAAAUUGAGGAUAAGUCAAAUAAUACCUAGUGUAGGGUUUGAAUCUGAUGAUAUUAGGUAGAGUACUAACGGUGAAAGCUUUUUAUCUAGAAAUGAUUGACGCUGAGAAACGAAGGUGAGAAUAG